UUUAACACAGAUGUAAGGUGGAGAGUGCU
Molecule: non-coding RNA, 29 nt
Filed under: Homo sapiens (human)
Lineage: Eukaryota; Metazoa; Chordata; Mammalia; Primates; Hominidae
Source: RNAcentral